Transfer RNA from Clostridiales bacterium, 82 nucleotides. It matches the Rfam family "tRNA". From Rfam's summary of the family: Transfer RNA (tRNA) molecules are approximately 80 nucleotides in length. Their secondary structure includes four short double-helical elements and three loops (D, anti-codon, and T loops). Lineage: Bacteria; Bacillati; Bacillota; Clostridia; Eubacteriales. The record is from Rfam.
GCGGAUAUGGUGGAAUUGGUAGACACGCUAGUUUCAGGUAUUAGUGAUGAAAGUCAUGCAGGUUCGAGUCCUGUUAUCCGCA